Molecule: long non-coding RNA, 758 nt
Organism: Quercus lobata
Lineage: Eukaryota; Viridiplantae; Streptophyta; Magnoliopsida; Fagales; Fagaceae
Exons: 3
Source: RefSeq, a predicted model, not a curated record
CUAUAUCUUCUCUAAAUUUCAUUGACUUCUUAUGCAUUUCAUGCAUCAAAGUAAGGUAUUUCCAUGCUCAUGCAUAAUGAUUAUUUUAGCAUUAGUCGAAACUUGGGUUAGUAGAUUUUCAUAUGAAUGUUUGGAUUGUGAAAGGAAGUUAGUCCUACCCAUUGCAUUCGGGUGUAAAAAUUUGACAGAAUCAAAAUAUGCUGUUGUUCUUGACAGUAGCAGGUUUAAUUAUGCACUUGAAGUGUUCGAUAAAAUGCCUAGAAGAUGCAAGAUCUAUCAUCUCUGCUCUGGCUUAUAAGACAGUUGGUAGCUAUUCAAGAAGAGCUACUUGAUUAAAUAUAAAGAAAUAUCUUCUAAGAGUGGGCCACAACUUUACUUGCAAUGUUAAGGCUGAUUAGUGUCUGAGUGUCUUAGCUAUGUCCGAGUCGAUUGAGACGGCUCUAUUAGAAUCAUACACUAGCAUAAGUGGUUUACUAGAUCUGUUUUUGUUGUUUGAUUUAGUUUCUCAGAAUACUAAAAACUUUUGGGAGUAUUUGGAUUCAAUUAAUUUUGUGUUUGAUUUUGGUUUAGUUUUAGCGUAUUUACAAAAUUCCUAGAACGGUAGAGAGAGAGUCAAUUUGGAACAAGAGGAAAAAUAAUCAUUAGACUGUUAAGUUAAUGCGCCAUGGAUUGAGAAAGGGGCACCACCACAAGUUCUGUCAUCACCGUAAGCCUCCAUCCACUAUCAGACUACCGGAAUCGCUUCCUGUAAAGUUUUG